Molecule: ribosomal RNA, 263 nt
Filed under: uncultured bacterium
Lineage: Bacteria
Description: partial 16S ribosomal RNA
Rfam family: Bacterial small subunit ribosomal RNA
Source: RNAcentral
GUCCACGCCGUAAACGAUGAAUGCUAGCCGUUGGGUAGCUUGCUAUUCAGUGGCGCAGCUAACGCAUUAAGCAUUCCGCCUGGGGAGUACGGCCGCAAGGUUGAAACUCAAAGGAAUUGACGGGGGCCCCGCACAAGCGGUGGAGCAUGUGGUUUAAUUCGACGCAACGCGCAGAACCUUACCAGGGUUUGACAUCCUGCGACCGCUCCGUAAUGGGAGUUUUCCCGCAAGGGACGCAGAGACAGGUGCUGCAUGGCUGUCGU